RNAcentral lists this ribosomal RNA (915 nucleotides) under uncultured marine archaeon. RNAcentral describes it as "bacterial SSU rRNA". It matches the Rfam family "Archaeal small subunit ribosomal RNA", at positions 4 to 922 of the family's 1478-position model. The record is from RNAcentral.
CCGGUUGAUCCUGCCGAAGGCUACUGCUAUUGGAGUUCGAUUAAGCCAUGCGAGUCUAAGGGAUCUUCGGAUCCCUGGCGUAAUGCUCAGUAACACGUGGAUAAUCUACCCUCAGGUGGGGCAUAAACCCGGGAAACUGGGGCCAAUUCCCCAUAGAUACAGAUGGCUGGAAUGCUUCUGUAUUCAAAGCUCCGGCGCCUGAGGAUGGGUCUGCGGCCUAUCAGGUUGUAGUCAGGGUCAAGACCUGACUAGCCAGCGACGGGUAUGGGGUGUGAGAGCACUUGCCCAGAGAUGGUUUCUGAGACACGAAACCAGGCCCUACGGGGCGCAGCAGGCGCGAAAACUUCGCAAUGCGGGAAACCGUGACGAGGGAACUCCAAGUGUCUAUGCAUUGCAUAGACUGUUUUUUAGCCUAAAUAGCUAUUAGAGUAAGAGGUGGGCAAGACCGGUGCCAGCCGCCGCGGUAACACCGGCACCUCGAGUGGUAGCCACUAUUAUUGGGCCUAAAGCGUUCGUAGCCGGUUUGGUAAAUUCUUGGGUAAAUCGUACCGCUUAACGGUGCGGAUUCCGGGGACACUACCAGACUUGAGACCGGGGGAGAUCAGAGGUACUUGCGGGGGAGCGGUGAAAUGUUGUAAUCCUGCAGGGACCACCAGUGGCGAAGGCGUCUGAUCAGAACGGCUCUGACGGUGAGGAACGAAACCCUGGGGCGCAAACGGGAUUAGAUACCCCGGUAGUCCAGGGCGUAAACGCUGCUGACUUGGUGUUGGGGAUCCUACGAGGAUGUCCAGUGCUGGCGCGAAGGUAUUAAGUCAGCCGCCUGGGGAGUACGGUCGCAAGACUGAAACUUAAAGGAAUUGGCGGGGGAGCACUGCAACGUGUGGAGCGUGCGGUUUAAUUGGAUUCAACGCCGGG